CGCGGCCUAUCAGCUUGUUGGCGGGGUAACGGCCCACCAAGGCAACGACGGGUAGCUGGUUUGAGAGAACGAUCAGCCACACUGGAACUGAGACACGGUCCAGACUUCUACGGAAGGCAGCAGUAGGGAAUCUUGCGCAAUGGGCGAAAGCCUGACGCAGCGACGCCGCGUGCGGGAUGACGGCCCUAGUGGUUGUAAACCGCUUUCAGCAGGGACGAGAAUGACGGUACCUGCAGAAGAAGUCCCGGCUAACUACGUGCCAGCAGCCGCGGUAAUACGUAGGGGACAAGCGUUGUCCGGAUUCAUUGGGCGUAAAGAGCUCGUAGGCGGUUCAGUAAGUUGGGUGUGAAAGCUCCGGGCUCAACCCGGAGAGGCCACUCAAUACUGCUGUGACUAGAGUCCAGUAGAGGAGCGUGGAACUCCUGGUGUAGCGGUGAAGUGCGCAGAUAUCAGGAAGAACACCGGCAGCGAAGGCGGCGCUCUGGGCUGGUACUGACGCUGAGGAGCGAAAGCAUGGGUAGCAAACAGGAUUAGAUACCCUGGUAGUCCAUGCCGUAAACGUUGGGCACUAGGUGUGGGGAGGAAUCAACCCUCUCCGUGCCGUAGCUAACGCAUUAAGUGCCCCGCCUGGGGAGUACGG
RNAcentral lists this ribosomal RNA (640 nucleotides) under uncultured bacterium. Its description in RNAcentral is "bacterial SSU rRNA". It matches the Rfam family "Bacterial small subunit ribosomal RNA", at positions 232 to 885 of the family's 1533-position model. The record is from RNAcentral.